This 253-nucleotide ribosomal RNA is filed under the name uncultured bacterium. RNAcentral's name for it is "partial 16S ribosomal RNA". It matches the Rfam family "Bacterial small subunit ribosomal RNA", at positions 524 to 776 of the family's 1533-position model. The record is from RNAcentral.
UACGAAGGGUGCAAACGUUGCUCGGAAUUACUGGGCGUAAAGCGUGCGUAGGUGGUUUGUUAAGUCUGUUGUGAAAGCCCCGGGCUCAACCUGGGAAUGGCAAUGGAUACUGGCAGGCUAGAGUGCGGUAGAGGGUAGUGGAAUUCCCGGUGUAGCGGUGAAAUGCGUAGAGAUCGGGAGGAACACCAGUGGCGAAGGCGGCUACCUGGACCAGCACUGACACUGAGGCACGAAAGCGUGGGGAGCAAACAGG